GACGCUGGAGCUAAGGCCUGGAUUAGCACAAGCUAUCAAGUACUACAAGGAGACGAUUUAGUGGUCAAACGAAAUCACACUGUUAUCUCUACUAUCUCUCUACAUAUAUAGAGCCUAGGGAUAUGCUUUGCUUUGAUUCGCCUAUGACUAGCUAGACCUAUGACGCACCAUGUCUUUGGCUUUUCAAUGCUUUUCGACCGACGAUCGGCGAGACGGACGGACGGCCGGCCGCAACUGUGUUUCAACAGGAGGAAAGUUCUAUGACAAGCCAAAGCCUUGCCUGCUUGGUCGCUCCUUCUCCUUCUUUCAAAGUUAACUUAAUGUCUU
RNAcentral lists this long non-coding RNA (327 nucleotides) under Hordeum vulgare. RNAcentral describes it as "long non-coding RNA (HVUL_LNC011200)". The record is from RNAcentral. Lineage: Eukaryota; Viridiplantae; Streptophyta; Magnoliopsida; Poales; Poaceae.